This 496-nucleotide ribosomal RNA is filed under the name uncultured bacterium. Its description in RNAcentral is "partial 16S ribosomal RNA". It matches the Rfam family "Bacterial small subunit ribosomal RNA", at positions 28 to 506 of the family's 1533-position model. The record is from RNAcentral.
GAUGAACGCUGGCGGCGUGCCUAAUACAUGCAAGUCGAGCGAACAGACGAGGAGCUUGCUCCUCUGACGUUAGCGGCGGACGGGUGAGUAACACGUGGAUAACCUACCUAUAAGACUGGGAUAACUUCGGGAAACCGGAGCUAAUACCGGAUAAUAUAUUGAACCGCAUGGUUCAAUAGUGAAAGACGGUUUUGCUGUCACUUAUAGAUGGAUCCGCGCCGCAUUAGCUAGUUGGUAAGGUAACGGCUUACCAAGGCAACGAUGCGUAGCCGACCUGAGAGGGUGAUCGGCCACACUGAACCUGGGACACGGUCCAAACUCCUACGGGAGGCAGAGGUAGGGAAUCUUCCGCAAUGGGGGAAGGCCUGCCGGGGCAACGCCGCGUGAGUAAUGAAGGUCUUCGAUUCGUAAACCUUUGUUAUAAGGAAGGAACAAAGGUGAAGGUACCAAUGCCCGUCUGAACGUUACCUAAUAAGAAAGCCCCGGUUACCUACGU